This 78-nucleotide non-coding RNA is filed under the name unclassified sequences. RNAcentral's name for it is "S15-Methanomicrobia ribosomal protein leader". It matches the Rfam family "S15-Methanomicrobia ribosomal protein leader". The record is from RNAcentral.
AGCACUAUUCGUGAUGAAAGUGCUGGCAUAUGUAAAUCCGACGUGCUUCACCGCACGGCCUGCGUGGCUGGGGAUUAC